Molecule: ribosomal RNA, 253 nt
Filed under: uncultured bacterium
Lineage: Bacteria
Description: partial 16S ribosomal RNA
Rfam family: Bacterial small subunit ribosomal RNA
Source: RNAcentral
UACGGGGGGGGCAAGCGUUGUUCGGAAUUACUGGGCGUAAAGGGCUCGUAGGCGGCCAACUAAGUCGGAUGUGAAAUCCCCAGGCUUAACUUGGGAACUGCAUCCGAUACUGGAUGGCUUGAAUCCGGGAGAGGGAUGCAGAAUUCCAGGUGUAGCGGUGAAAUGCGUAGAUAUCUGGAGGAAUACCGGUGGCGAAGGCGGCGUUCUGGACCAUUACUGACACUGAAUCGCGAAAGCUAGGGGAGCAAACGGG